UACAGAGGUCUCAAGCGUUGUUCGGAUUCAUUGGGCGUAAAGGGCGCGUAGGCGGCGGGGUAAGUCGGGUGUGAAAUCUCAGAGCUCAACUCUGAAACUGCACUCGAUACUGCUCUGCUUGAGGACUGGAGAGGAGACUGGAAUUUACGGUGUAGCGGUGAAAUGCGUAGAUAUCGUAAGGAGGACCAGUGGCGAAGGCGGGUCUCUGGACAGUUCCUGACGCUGAGGCACGAAGGCCAGGGGAGCAAACGGG
This 253-nucleotide ribosomal RNA is filed under the name uncultured bacterium. Its description in RNAcentral is "partial 16S ribosomal RNA". It matches the Rfam family "Bacterial small subunit ribosomal RNA", at positions 524 to 776 of the family's 1533-position model. The record is from RNAcentral.